This 106-nucleotide small nuclear RNA is filed under the name Tupaia belangeri chinensis (Chinese tree shrew). Lineage: Eukaryota; Metazoa; Chordata; Mammalia; Scandentia; Tupaiidae. The record is from RNAcentral.
GUGCUCACUUCAGCAAUACAUAUACUAAAGUUGGAAUGAUACAGAGAAGAUUAGCAUGGCCCUGUCCAAGGAAGACAUGCAAGUUCAUGAAGUGUUCCAUAUUUUU